GGCCAUAAUCUAAAUUUUGAUUUUUUCACUUUAAAUUUAAAAUUAAUUUUAAAGUUUUUCGCUAAAGUUUAUUUUCCUACUUUGGUUUCUAGAGUGAUGCGAACACUUAUAUAAAAAAUUUAUUCGUAUUUUUUCUAUUUAUAAAUAUGAUGUUUUGCUUUUUUCACCGAUAAGCUUCAAGACGAGGGUGAUUAUAUAAAGAUCAAAGUCAGUUCAGUUGCUAUGAUUGAUUUAACGGUAGGUUUGAUAGGUAUCGGGAAUAUGGUCAUAAAGAUCUAGGCAGGUUGAUCCGCACGAACAUGUAAAUCACCUCGAUGCAUGGUGGUGUACUGGUAUGUAAAGAAUCCAAUCUUGAAAGUAUUGUGAUGUGGUGGAAACUAGUACCAACCAUGCAGCCUAGGGGCGUUGGG
Molecule: long non-coding RNA, 410 nt
Filed under: Oryza brachyantha (malo sina)
Lineage: Eukaryota; Viridiplantae; Streptophyta; Magnoliopsida; Poales; Poaceae
Description: long non-coding RNA (OBRA_LNC000015)
Source: RNAcentral